UACGUAGGGUCCGAGCGUUGUCCGGAAUUACUGGGCGUAAAGAGCUCGUAGGUGGUUUGUCGCGUUGUUCGUGAAAACUCACAGCUUAACUGUGGGCGUGCGGGCGAUACGGGCAGACUUGAGUACUGCAGGGGAGACUGGAAUUCCUGGUGUAGCGGUGGAAUGCGCAGAUAUCAGGAGGAACACCGGUGGCGAAGGCGGGUCUCUGGGCCGAUACUGACGCUGAGGGGCGAAAGCGUGGGGAGCGAACAGG
This 253-nucleotide ribosomal RNA is filed under the name uncultured bacterium. RNAcentral describes it as "partial 16S ribosomal RNA". It matches the Rfam family "Bacterial small subunit ribosomal RNA", at positions 524 to 776 of the family's 1533-position model. The record is from RNAcentral.